UCCGGUUUGUCACCGGCAGUCCCCCAUGAGUCCCCGGCAUUAUCCGCUGGCAACAUGGGGCAAGGGUUGCGCUCGUUGCGGGACUUAACCCAACACCUCACGGCACGAGCUGACGACAGCCAUGCACCACCUGUGAUGGUGCCCCGAAGGGAGACCGUGUUUCCACGGCUGUCACCAACAUGUCAAGCCCAGGUAAGGUUCUUCGCGUUGCGUCGAAUUGAACCACAUGCUCCGCUGCUUGUGCGGGUCCCCGUCAAUUCCUUUGAGUUUUAGCCUUGCGGCCGUACUCCCCAGGCGGGGCACUUACCGCGUUUGCUGCGGCACCGAGGGGGUCGAUACCCCCGACACCUAGUGCUCAUCGUUUACAGCGUGGACUAC
RNAcentral lists this unclassified non-coding RNA (378 nucleotides) under uncultured Thermoleophilia bacterium. Its description in RNAcentral is "contains 16S-23S intergenic spacer region". Lineage: Bacteria; Bacillati; Actinomycetota; Thermoleophilia. The record is from RNAcentral.